Molecule: long non-coding RNA, 1069 nt
Organism: Rhopalosiphum padi (bird cherry-oat aphid)
Lineage: Eukaryota; Metazoa; Arthropoda; Insecta; Hemiptera; Aphididae
Exons: 4
Source: RefSeq, a predicted model, not a curated record
UACACCGGUGAGUCUCCCCCGCAACUGGUCCGCGUCUUUGACGCACAAUACCUAUCCGUGCAUAAAUUAAAAGAAACAAAACACCGAGACCAUGUGAAUCUACAUACAUGCGACUGUACCCUUAUUAACUGCAACUCUAUAUUGCGCGUUAUAAUACAUAAUACCUAUUAUCGUCAUUUCAUUCGCCUACGCGACUACGCCGUCAACGCACGCACACAAAUUCCUCGUCUCCAUCAGUUCGAUUUUCGUUCUCGUAUCGUUAUAAUAUUACCAUGUAGAUCAGUACAUCAUCGCGAUGUUUUAUAUAAGAGUUGCGCAUCCGGCCGUAAUUGACUUAUAAUAUGUCAUGGAAUUUACAUCUUAUAACAGAGGAAUUAUAAUUCUUGAAUGACAUACAACGGAAUAUUUAAAAACGUGCAUCCAUAAUUGAACUAAAACAAUAUAUUGCGGUGGACGCGCGAUUAUAACAAGUUAUGACACUACAGCAAACGCGAUACAUCAGCUUUAAAAACACACUGUUCCAACACUUGCAAGUCUGCAACAGUAAUCAACAAAGCUGAAAUUAAAACAUACGUUUCCCGAAUACUUAGGUUUUAUGUAUGCUCCUUAAAUGUUCAUUCCUGGAUCGGAUUCAAGCGCAAUAAGACAACAAAAUAUUUAUAUGAACAUUGAACAUAUAAUAUAUAUCAUAUUAUGUGUUAAAAAAAAUUAUAUGAUCGUUUCAUAACAUAUAAAUAUCUACAUAUUAUAUAAAUACAUUUAUAAAAAUCUUAAUGAUUUACUAUAAAUUUAUUUUGCCAUUAUAUUCUUCGUAAGAAAUUUUUAAAUAAAUUUGUGGUAAAAAUGGGAAGUUGCAGAGCAAUUUAGUAAUAAAACAUAAUUCUAUAUAUAGUAAAAUAGUAGUAACCUCUUGUAAAAUUAUAUACAUAUUUUAUAAGUUUUUAACAUGAAAUCGUAGGUAUAAGAAUUGUAUUUAAUUAUUAUUUUAUGAAUCUGAAUUAGUGUAUUACUAUCAACGAUGUGUACCUAUAUAAAGCCAUAAUAUAUUGAAUAUUUAAAGUCUUCCGUA